GACGUAGGGCGCGAGCGUUGUCCGGAUUUAUUGGGCGUAAAGAGCUCGUAGGCGGCUCGUUGCGUCGGCUGUGAAAACCCGCAGCUCAACUGUGGGCUUGCAGCCGAUACGGGCGGGCUGGAGUUCGGUAGGGGAGACUGGAAUUCCUGGUGUAGCGGUGAAAUGCGCAGAUAUCAGGAGGAACACCGGUGGCGAAGGCGGGUCGCUGGGCCGAUACUGACGCUGAGGAGCGAAAGCGUGGGGAGCGAACAGG
This 253-nucleotide ribosomal RNA is filed under the name uncultured bacterium. RNAcentral's name for it is "partial 16S ribosomal RNA". It matches the Rfam family "Bacterial small subunit ribosomal RNA", at positions 524 to 776 of the family's 1533-position model. The record is from RNAcentral.